This 414-nucleotide transfer-messenger RNA is filed under the name Patescibacteria group. RNAcentral describes it as "JACREN01 sp016218255 Standard tmRNA". It matches the Rfam family "transfer-messenger RNA". Rfam says of the family: Bacterial tmRNA, also known as 10Sa RNA or SsrA, is named for its dual tRNA and mRNA-like properties. Its role is to liberate the mRNA from a stalled ribosome. The record is from RNAcentral. RNAcentral also lists the same sequence under 1 other name.
GGGGAUGAAUGAUUCGACGAAAAAUGUACAUUGAUAACGGCAAGCCGGCGAUGACAAAAGAGCCGCAAAACUUUGUCACCUUAUAAUUGCUAACAAACUUAGCAAGCUUGAAGAGCAAUAUCUUGCUCUUUUGGAGCGUUUAGCUCUCAAGCGAUCUAUGCAGGCACGGGCGUUCGCGUUCGCAACUGCGUAAGGUCCAUCCUGUUUCCAUCUCUAUUCGGCGGGUGAUUCAGGGUGUAAAAAUAGCCGAAUCGUCAGAAAUCGGUUUGUAACCGGCCGGUUUCGGAGUAUUUAGGUUGCGCCUUUGGUGAACCGCGGGUGUCCAUUUCUGCCACCAAAGAAUAAAUGGACUACGCUUGUAGAAGUUGUUGAUGUUCGUUUUCGGACCCGGGCUCACCCCCGGCAUCUCCACUU